This 454-nucleotide ribosomal RNA is filed under the name uncultured bacterium. RNAcentral's name for it is "bacterial SSU rRNA". It matches the Rfam family "Bacterial small subunit ribosomal RNA", at positions 923 to 1379 of the family's 1533-position model. The record is from RNAcentral.
GCACAAGCGGUGGAGCAUGUGGUUUAAUUCGACGCGACGCGAAGAACCUUACCUGGGCUUGACAUGUGAGUGACCGGCGUGGAAACACGUCUUCCCUUCGGGGCACUUUCACAGGUGGUGCAUGGCUGUCGUCAGCUCGUGUCGUGAGAUGUUGGGUUAAGUCCCGCAACGAGCGCAACCCUUAUUGUCAGUUGCCAUCAUUCAGUUGGGCACUCUGGCGAAACCGCCUCGGAUAACGGGGAGGAAGGUGGGGAUGACGUCAAGUCCUCAUGGCCUUUAUGUCCAGGGCUACACACGUGCUACAAUGGUCGGUACAAACCGUCGCAAACCCGCGAGGGGGAGCUAAUCGGAAAAAGCCGGCCUCAGUUCGGAUCGCAGUCUGCAACUCGACUGCGUGAAGCUGGAAUCGCUAGUAAUCGCGGAUCAGAACGCCGCGGUGAAUACGUUCCCGGGC